GGCUGGUCUGGAACUCCUGACCUCCCGCCUUGGCCUCCCAGAGUGCUAGGAUUACAGGCCUGAGCCAGCAGUUUUUUCUGAAGGGGAAGUUGGAACCUUUAGCAUUUUGAAGGCAUACAGACAGGAGGAAAAGGCGGGGGUGGGGCUUUGCUGUGGCAAAGUGGUUACAUUCUUGUGAGGCCCAGGAAAUCUGCAUUAUAUAUAAAACAAGGAGAUGUUAGGAAGGAAAAAAGGACUUAAGGAAACAUUAAUUAUGUAGAUAUCCCUGGGUAGGUGGAAGAAUGUCUGAUUCCAUCUUGUUUUCCAGUUCUGGAACCUGUAAGAUAAACUUGUAAUUCGUUAUUAGUGUGGACUCAACAGGGUUCAGUGUUAGGUGCUUACAGUAGGCCAGCAAGGAAUUUCCUUACUAAACGCUCUGUGAGGUCAGUUCUUUACAGGUGCCUGAGGCCUUUACCUUCUCUUUUGCACAGAAGCUUGGGGGUGACCCUGAGACUUUGAUUGUCUUUUUACACCGCGCACCCCCGGGCCUGCCGCGGUCUGACAGUUCGGGUGGGGCCAACUGCGGCUCUGAAGACCGCAUCUUCCGGAUUCCGGUUCCCGCCAGCGCGGAGACACGUCCCCACCUGGGCCGGGACAAAUAGGAGACGCGCCCUAACCAAGACUGGGACCAAUCGGAAACGCGCCGCUUUCCUCCUUCCCUCGCGCCCGCGUCGAGCGCGUCCCUAUCUCCCGCCGAGAUCCCUCCCGGACCCGCGAAGGCGCGACCUAUCAGCGCACGAGGGGCCCUCUGGCCGCCUGAGUGCAGGGGCCAACCUUUCCCUCGGGUCUCUCCUCAGCCAGCCAGACGGAGCGUCCGGCAGUGAGGCCGCGCUGCCCGCCGGGGUCCUCCGGCCUCGGGCCGCUCUAGUGGACUCGCAAGGCGCGCGCAGCGAGGGGCCUCCCCCCGCGCAUGGGCCGGAUGGUCUUGCCCGCCGGGGCGCGCGCGGGAGCGUCGAGGGGCGGGGCCAGCGGCCUAUAAAAGCGGUUGGGGGCGGGGUGCACAGAGCUUGUCGGCGCCCGAGCCAGGAGGUGGUCUGCCGGGUCGUCACCGUAGCUGCAGCUCUUGGCGUCUGCUCCGCGCUCCCGCCGCCGCCAUGGCCUGCCGGCCGCGAAGCCCCCCCAGGUGCGGAAGCCGCUGCGACAGUGACGCCAGCCCGCCUUCCCUCGCGAGAUGGAGCCUCGGACGGAAGCGCAGAGCCGACUGGAGGCGCAGGAAGCCGGAGGAUGCAGAGUAUGGCGAGCGCCGGGGCGCCGACCGCAGACCCGAGAGCUUUACCACUCCUGAAGGCCCUAAGCCCCGUUCUAGAUGUUCAGACUGGGCAAGUGCAGUUGAGGAAGAUGAAAUGAGGACCAGAGUUAACAAAGAAAUGGCAAGAUAUAAAAGAAAACUCCUCAUAAAUGAUUUUGGAAGAGAGAGAAAAUCAUCAUCGGGAAGUUCUGAUUCAAAAGAGUCCAUGUCUACAGUGCCGGCUGAUUUUGAGACAGACGAAAGUGUCCUGAUGAGGAGACAGAAGCAGAUCAACUAUGGGAAGAACACAAUCGCCUAUGAUCGCUAUAUUAAAGAAGUCCCAAGACACCUUCGGCAACCUGGCAUCCAUCCCAAGACCCCCAACAAAUUUAAGAAGUAUAGUCGACGGUCGUGGGACCAGCAAAUCAAACUCUGGAAGGUGGCUUUGCAUUUUUGGGAUCCUCCAGCUGAACAAGGAUGUGAUUUGCAAGAAAUACACCCUAUAGACCUCGAAUCCACAGAAAGUGGCUCUGAGCCCCAGACAAGCUCUCAGGAUGACUUCUAUUCUGCUGAGAAACUGAACAGAAGUGGCCAUUUGUUCCCUUUGGAGAUCAGUGACCAGACUCCCCGGAAGGUCUUAGGUGGAGGAUGGCCUGUUGGAAGCCGGGUGGCCGCAGGCCACGAUCUCCCCUUCCUGCCCAGCCUGUCUGGUGCAGCUCACACUCUGGGUCUCCAGUGGCAGCCAGAGUCGCUGGGCCCACACACAGGCCUGGGUGCGGUCAGCGCUGCGGACCUCAGUGAGAGCACAGGGCCUCCUGUGGCUCCGCCCACGAAGCGGCACUGCCGAUCCCUAUCCGAGCCCGAGGAGCUGGCACGCUGCCGGUCCCUGUGGCGCCCCAGCAGCUCCAAGGUCUGGACUCCGGUCUCCAAGAGGCGGUGCAACAGUGGCGGGAGCACCACACUGCAGGGAAUCGUGGGGACCGUCCUGCCGAGGAAUGGCGUGCCACUGGCUGGCCCUACCUUGCCCCUGGCGCCCCGGCCAUCCUCGGCCAGCAGCGGCUUUGUGGACAGCAGCGAGAGCAGCAGCGGCUCAGCCCCACCCUGGCAUUUGAUGGGGCCCUGCCUGCUCCCCUUGAGGCGCCGGCUGUCCCUCUCUCAGGAGCACCUCAUGGGCACAUGCACCCCCCUGCCCUCAGCCAGCAGCACCCCCACGUCCACGCCCGAGCUAGGCCGGCGCCACGGCUUGCUCCGGUGCCGCUCACAGCCGUGCGUGCUCAGCAGGAGGAGGAGCCAGCGCAAGCGCAGGCACCAGGAGGAUGCCAGGUGGACACGCCCAUCCUUGGACUUCCUAAAAAUGACCCAGGAGCAAAGAGCUUUGGCACCCUCCUCAUUCCAGUGAGCUGCAGAUGUCUCCAGAGUCUCACUGGGCUAGAGUGCAGUGGCGUCAUCAUAGCUCACUAUAGUCUCCAACUCCUGGGCUCAAGUGAUCCUCCUGUCUCAGACUCCAAGUAGCUGGUGUGCACCAUCAGCUACCACAGGGGCACCCUGGGUUCCUUGCCACCGGGCCUGUCCAUGGGACAGUUUGCGUCGUCGUGGCAGCCAGCUUCCCUCAGAGCUGGCCAGCCAGCAAGUGAGAUGCACCUGAGAUGGAAGCCACUGUCUUCUUGUAACCUGCUCUCGAAAGUGACACCUGACACCUCAGCGGAAUUCUGUUCGCCAAGAGCGAGCUGCUGGGUCCAGCCCCCACUCAGUGUGGACCCCAGGAGUGGGGGCCACUGGGGCAUCUCAGAGACUGCCUAGCAUACGGUGGGCACGGAGCUGUCCCUCUGCUGUUAAGUCCCUUCAGCUCAGAAGAUGUUUCUCACAGGACUGGAAUGUGCGUUGUGCUGGGGCAGAGGCCGUGGCCCCGCCUUCGAGGAGCUGCCCUUCAGCAGGGAACACACUCGGGAACAGGAAGCCACGAUGCCCUGUGACAAGGAGCCCCACAGCACUGACCUGGGCUUGCAGAGGGUACAGGCACUUCAUAACAGCCUGGGCUGAAUGCCAGCCUUGAUGGUUCCGGCCUCGCCUAUGAGCCUUGCUACAUCUGCGUAUUAGUUCGAGCAGCUAUUCGUGGACUCCUCGUGUAUUGGUUGCCUGUUCCUGCACAACAAAUCACCCAGCCAUUUGCUUAACACAGCAGCUGUUUAUUAUCUCAUCACUUCCUAGGUCAGUAACCGCAUGUGGCUCCAGGCUCAGCGGGUGCAGUCAGGCUGUAGGUGUGGGCUGCGGUCUCAUCUGAAGAUCAUCCCCCAGGAGGGCCCUGAGGGGGCGUCACCCACUCAGAGGGGCCAGUGUCCCUGGGGCGGGUGAGGGAGGCUGGGGAGAGGAGACAGGGCAGCAAUGGGGCCGUGGCCAGUUGGCCUAUGGCCAUGGCAAGUUCGUGGGUGUUUGCUCUGUGCAAGGCGGGUAUAUAAAGGAUGAUCACAUCUGAGUCUGCCCCAUUCCUGUGGCAGCCACAGGAGAAGUGACGUGGGGCCGGGACUGGGUCCAUCUGUGAAGGUGUAUUUUCCAUAUCCGUAUUUCUUUUCAUGUCUAACCGUCCGAGGAUGUGUGUGUGUACAUGACUUGUGUUUCUUUCUGUGUCAUCCACGGGGGUCGUCUGCUGCCAUGAACUUCAACCUAGGGCCGCUGGGGUCACCAUGCGCUGACCCACUGGUAGGUCCCACCUCCCUCAGCCAGGGACCCAGCUCCUCACCUGCAGGCCUGUCUGCCCGACACACUCUCCCCUGCCACCUGGCCUGUCCCAGCACAGGCAUGCUGUCACCUGUCCCCGUGGUGGUGCCUGUUCUUGUGUUUGUCCCAGAGGACACCAGCCUGGCUUGGCAGGGUGGGCAGGAGGCCCCACUCCUGGCUGAGGGGUCACACUUGGGGCGCGUGGCAUGGCCUUGUCAGUCAGUGCAAGGCCUGUUUCCUGGUUUUGUCUUACGUCCUGUUUCAUUUUGUCUUUGUUUUAUCUUGUGCUUUCUUCUGCCUUGCAGCGUGGGGUCCCUUCCUCUGACCUGGCGCGCGUGGCUCGGCUCCUCCCUGUGCGCAGCCUGCUGCGACUCUGCCUCCCUGCUCUCCUGCUUCCCAGCUCACGGCCGCGCCCGCGCUGCAGGUGGACGGGGCUGGCUUCACGGCGCGGACUGCGGUGGUUGAAAUGGCCCCAGGCCCAGUCCAGGGUCCCCAGCUGUGGCGAGCUUCUCGGAGAAGACGUGCGUAGGUGGGCCUUGUCCGGGCGUGAGCUCCCUGCUGACGAGUCAACGACGUGUGUUCAUACAGUGUCUCAAAACAGAACCACACAUGAAGCAAGUUUGUGUUUUGAUCAGUUGGUGAGAAUGUGACCAGGGGCUUGCAGGGACCUAACCCUGUGUCACCCAUAGGAGCAACGGCUCAGUGUGCGCUUUGCAGAGUUCGCGGAGACGCCACGCACAGAAGGAGAAUACCGAGCAUCGACUGUGCUCACUGGCACCGUCCAGCUUCGCUGCCGGCCUGUGACCCACCGCCCUCUGGUGUCCCGGGUGCAUCCCCGUCCCUUUGCUGAUAGUGGGGCCUGGGUGGUCCUUCGUGGUGCCCCUGUGAGCUUGGCAGUGCGGCCUGAGAGUCGGCAGACACCCUAUUCCCUUGAGCCCUGGGCUCUGGGGUCAGCUGCAUGAGGCGUGGCUAGCAGGUCCCUGUUCCCUGUGUCUUUGCCAUCGCGGCUGCCUCCCCACGCCUGCUGCCUCGAGGGCAUGAUGUGUGUCCAAUGUCGCGUCCGUCUGUCUCCUGUUAGGGCCAGCUCUCCACCGACACGUUAACCGUGCAGCUCUGCUCUCUGCUGCGAGUGGCCUGGUCUUUGCUGCUUGUUUAUUCCUUUGUGUUCUCACUUUCUCAUAUCAGUUUCUAAACUUGCCGGUGUGCUCUCAGCCUCUAGGUCUUUGUGUGUGACUUGAGGUAGGGAUGCAGUUAUAUUUCUCUCCAUAGAAUAAUCCAGUUCUCUUUCAUUCCUGAUUUUUGAGUUAUUUUUAAAAAGAGAUAUUAAACUUUAUCGGAGGCCC
Microcebus murinus (gray mouse lemur) is the source of this 5325-nucleotide non-coding RNA. The record is from RefSeq and is a predicted model, not a curated record. Lineage: Eukaryota; Metazoa; Chordata; Mammalia; Primates; Cheirogaleidae.